UGAUUUAUCCUGAUGGUCACUGUAGUGUCAUUUAUCUGCGCAGCUGGGACCCCUGGAGAAGACAUAAUGAUCACUGCAUUCACAGUGCUGUUCUACCUUGGUGAGAUUUGGAGGGUGGAGGGAACACUGAAAUCUAGGAGAGACCCUUGGCCUUAAUUAAACUCUAGAUCACCAAUGGAUCUUAUGCUAUUGGGUGGCCUUGUAGAAGAGAUGACCUACUGAAGUUUCAUGAAGAAAAAUCUCAUGAGAGAUCUCUUUCAGGACUGAUUCUAGAUCCCAGGACCACAGUUGUGGCAGGUGAGUCAGUUCCCUUGUCUUACCAGAUCCUGUUUUCACACUGAGAUCAGAAGACCAUUCCUGAGCACUGGAGUUGGAAAACAACAUAUGGGGGUUGAUGCUGGGAAUACUUUAAGGGUCCUGGGGCUUUGGAGUGGGGUAUAAGAGAGGGAUACUCUGAAGCAGAGUUUUUUUUAUUUCUUUGUAGGAACACUUCCCAUACCCACCCUUUGGGCUGAGCCAGGCUCUGUGGUCACCAAGGGACAGUCUGUUACUCUCUGGUGCACUGGUACCCAGGAUGCCCAAGAGUACAGUCUGUAUAAAAAGGAAAAUUCAAAAGCCUGGAAGUCACAAACCUUACUUGAACCUGGGAACAAGGCGAACUUCUCCAUUUCAUUCAUGACAGAGUACCAUGCAGGAUUAUAUUACUGCUACUAUUACAGUCCUGCUGGCU
Molecule: long non-coding RNA, 730 nt
Filed under: Rattus norvegicus (Norway rat)
Lineage: Eukaryota; Metazoa; Chordata; Mammalia; Rodentia; Muridae
Description: long non-coding RNA NONRATT002259
Source: RNAcentral